GGACUACUGGGGUAUCUAAUCCUGUUUGAUCCCCGCACUUUCGUGCCUCAGCGUCAGUUACCCAUUAGCAAGCUGCCUCCGCUAUCGGUGUUCUUGACGAUAUCUAAGCAUUUCACCGCUACACCGUCAAUUCCGCCUGCCUCACCGGUACUCAAGCCCCGCAGUAUCAAUGGCACCUCGACAGUUGAGCUGCCGUAUUUCACCACUGACUUACAGGGCCGCCUACGCACCCUUUAAACCCAAUAAAUCCGGACAACGCUUGCCACCUACGUAUUACCGCGGCUGCUGGCAC
RNAcentral lists this ribosomal RNA (292 nucleotides) under uncultured Bacteroidota bacterium. RNAcentral's name for it is "uncultured Bacteroidetes bacterium partial 16S ribosomal RNA". Lineage: Bacteria; Pseudomonadati; Bacteroidota. The record is from RNAcentral.